This 22-nucleotide microRNA is filed under the name Ornithorhynchus anatinus (platypus). RNAcentral describes it as "oan-miR-1421af-5p". Lineage: Eukaryota; Metazoa; Chordata; Mammalia; Monotremata; Ornithorhynchidae. The record is from miRBase by way of RNAcentral.
AACAGGUUAUAUGCGGUGCAGU